Molecule: ribosomal RNA, 566 nt
Filed under: uncultured bacterium
Lineage: Bacteria
Description: bacterial SSU rRNA
Rfam family: Bacterial small subunit ribosomal RNA
Source: RNAcentral
CACGCCGUAAACGAUGAGUGCUAGGUGUUAGGCCCUUUCCGGGGCUUAGUGCCGGAGCUAACGCAAUAANCACUCCGCCUGGGGAGUACGACCGCAAGGUUGAAACUCAAAGGAAUUGACGGGGGCCCGCACAAGCGGUGGAGCAUGUGGUUUAAUUCGAAGCAACGCGAAGANCCUUACCAGGUCUUGACAUCCCGAUGCUAUUCUUAGAGAUAGGAAGUUACUUCGGUACAUCGGAGACAGGUGGUGCAUGGUUGUCGUCAGCUCGUGUCGUGAGAUGUUGGGUUAAGUCCCGCAACGAGCGCAACCCUUAUUGUUAGUUGCCAUCAUUAAGUUGGGCACUCUAGCGAGACUGCCGGUAAUAAACCGGAGGAAGGUGGGGAUGACGUCAAAUCAUCAUGCCCCUUAUGACCUGGGCUACACACGUGCUACAAUGGUCGGUACAACGAGUUGCGAGCCGGUGACGGCAAGCUAAUCUCUGAAAGCCGAUCUCAGUUCGGAUUGGAGGCUGCAACUCGCCUCCAUGAAGUCGGAAUCGCUAGUAAUCGCGGAUCAGCACGCCGCGG